This 293-nucleotide unclassified non-coding RNA is filed under the name uncultured fungus. RNAcentral's name for it is "sequence contains ITS1". The record is from RNAcentral. Lineage: Eukaryota; Fungi.
UGGACUACACGGGUAUCUAAUCCUGUUCGCUCCCCACGCUUUCGUGCCUCAGCGUCAGUUACAGUCUAGGCAGCUGCCUUCGCAAUCGGGGUUCUGGAGGGUAUCUAUGCAUUUCACCGCUACACCCUCCAUUCCGCCGCCCUCGUCUGUACUCAAGCUCUCCAGUUUCCAGGGCAGUUCCGUUGUUGAGCAACGGGCUUUCACCCCGGACUUAAAAGCCGCCUACGCACCCUUUAAACCCAAUAAAUCCGGACAACGCUUGCACCCUCCGUAUUACCGCGGCGGCUGGCACG